This 1635-nucleotide long non-coding RNA is filed under the name Sus scrofa (pig). Its description in RNAcentral is "lncRNA (ENSSSCG00070014888.1)". The record is from RNAcentral. Lineage: Eukaryota; Metazoa; Chordata; Mammalia; Artiodactyla; Suidae.
GCUCUACUAACACUUCCAAAGGCCUUUCCUGCUCUCCUCUCUCAGCUUCUCCAGGCCUCUGUGCCCACAUGCACAGGCUUCCCUAAGCACAGUCUGGGGCUGGGUCCUCUCUUGCCCCUGCCUUCCUCUAUCUGGUUCUUUAUUAAAUGGAUUGGCCUGGCCUCUCUGUUCACACCCUGCCCCUCUUUCUCCUGUUUCUCAGUGCCCAUCUCACCUUUAUAUCAGUCAUGGUGGUGUCUGGUUAUACGUUAUAAAAAGCUCACUACAGUGGCCAAAACAAAUAAGAGGUUUCUUUUCCUCCCCAGGGAAGUCCAUGGCAAGGUCCUCCAUGGCCGGUCCAGCCACUCCUUUUGCUUUUCUGCCCUGCCAUUAAUGGACACUGCCAAGCAAUCUGAGAAACAUAGAAGAAAUAGAGCUCUGUUCCUGUCUUCAGGAGACAGCUGUCCUGGUGGUGAGAUAAAGGGAGGGAUAGAAAUUCAGAGACAGAAGAGAUGAGUGAAGGCUGGAGGAGAUGGAGGGGCUGCUUUUCGCCCUUUCUCCCUUCCCUCCCUCUUCCCCCCCUCCACCAUCCUUUCUCUUCUCAUAUUCUAUACCCAACCUCUUCUGAUCCCUGCUCAUCUCAGGCUUUGGAUCUUCCCAGUGUGAGAGGGAGUCAGGGUCAAUGACUGUAUUUGUUAUCUGGUACUGUGUAACAAAUUCUCCUCAAACAUUGUGACUUCAAGCAACAAUAACUAUUUCUUAUCUUUCAUGAUUUCUGUGGGUCAGGAAGGGAGGGGAGGCCAACCUGGCAUAUCAGAGUCUCUCAUGAGGUAGCCUCAAGAUGUUGUCUGGCGUCACUGAAGGGCUUGACUGGGAAUGGAGGCUUGCCUUUCCUGGCGGCUCACCCACAUGCUGGCAGUUUGGUGCCGGCCAUUGAUGGGAGGUCACACCCUCCUCAGCAGACCUUGGCCCACAGUCCUCAUGGCACAGUGGCUGGUUUCUCCCAGAGCAAGCAAGCCAAGACAGUGAGAGCUAGGUGGAAGCUGUCCUUUUCAUGACCUAUCCUCCUCAGAUGUCACAUAGCCUCACUUCUGUCCAUUCUGUUCUUCAGACCUGUGGCCCAGGUGUGGCCCGCCUUCAAGUGGAGGACAAUUAGCCUUCACCUUCUUAAGGAAGUUAUAUCAGCAGGUCUGCUGAAAAUUUAUUUUUUAUUUUUAAAAGUAACUUUAUUUCUUUCUUUGGGGGGAGUGUUUUUUUUAAAUUUUUUUUGGCUGUGCCUGUGGCAUGCGAAAGUUCCCAGGCCAGGGAUAGGACCCAAGCCACAGCAGUGACAGUACUGGAUCCUUAACCACUGAGCCACCAAAGAAGUCCUUCAGGCACUUUAGAAGAACCCUAUCUGUAGUUCAAGGGUCCCUGCUGAGGUCCUCAGCAUUCUCUCCACCUUCUGAGUCAGGAACAGUCCCCAUUGUGGAUGAAUGUCUCCAGGGAAUGUUGUGAAACAUGAUUUCUCAGUAACCAAGUCCCUGUUCCCCUGGGUAAGAAAGUUCUCAUCUUGAGUUGCUUUGUUGUAUGGUAGAAAUUCACACAACAUUGUAAAUCAGCUAUACUUCAAUAACAUUAAAAUAAAAAAAUUUAAAAAAGAAAGUUCUCUUCUCA